AGAGUUUGAUCAUGGCUCAGAACGUACGCUGGCGGCACGCCUAACACAUGCAAGUCGAACGAAGUAGCAAUACUUAGUGGCAGACGGGUGAGUAACAUGUAGGUAUCUACCCUUUGGCCUGGAAUAACACGAGGAAACUUGUGCUAAUACCGGAUAAGUCUUUACGGAGAAAGCUUUAUGCACCAUUGGAUGAGCCUGCACUUGAUUAGUUUGUUGGUGGGGUAAUGGCCUACCAAGACUGUGAUCAAUAGCUGAUUUGAGAGGAUGAUCAGCCACAUUGGGACUGAGACACGGCCCAAACUCCUACGGGAGGCAGCAGUGGGGAAUCUUGCACAAUGGAGGAAACUCUGAUGCAGCGAUGCCGCGUGAGUGAAGAAGGCCUUUGGGUUGUAAAGCUCUUUCGUCGGGGAAGAAAAUGACUGUACCCGAAUAAGAAGGUCCGGCUAACUUCGUGCCAGCAGCCGCGGUAAUACGAAGGGACCUAGCGUAGUUCGGAAUUACUGGGCUUAAAGAGUUCGUAGGUGGUUGAAAAAGUUGGUGGUGAAAUCCCAGAGCUUAACUCUGGAACUGCCAUCAAAACUUUUCAGCUAGAGUAUGAUAGAGGAAAGCAGAAUUUCUAGUGUAGAGGUGAAAUUCGUAGAUAUUAGAAAGAAUACCAAUUGCGAAGGCAGCUUUCUGGAUCAUUACUGACACUGAGGAACGAAAGCAUGGGUAGCGAAGAGGAUUAGAUACCCUCGUAGUCCAUGCCGUAAACGAUGUGUGUUAGACGUUGGAAAUUUAUUUUCAGUGUCGCAGCGAAAGCGAUAAACACACCGCCUGGGGAGUACGACCGCAAGGUUAAAACUCAAAUGAAUUGACGGGGACCCGCACAAGUAGUGGAGCAUGUGGUUUAAUUCGAAGAUACGCGCAGAACCUUACCAACACUUGACAUGUUCGUCGCGACUCUAAGAGAUUAGAGUUUUCGGUUCGGCCGGACGAAACACAGGUGCUGCAUGGCUGUCGUCAGCUCGUGUCGUGAGAUGUUGGGUUAAGUCCCGCAACGAGCGCAACCCUCACUUUUAGUUGCCAUCAUUAAGUUGGGCACUCUGAAAGAACUGCCAGUGAUAAGCUGGAGGAAGGUGGGGAUGACGUCAAGUCCUCAUGGCCCUUACGUGUUGGGCUACACACGUGCUACAAUGGUAUCUACAACAGGAAGCAAGACUGCGAGGUCAAGCAAAUCCUUAAAAGAUACCUCAGUUCGGAUUGCACUCUGCAACUCGAGUGCAUGAAGCUGGAAUUACUAGUAAUCGUGGAUCAGCGUGCCACGGUGAAUGCGUUCCCGGGUCUUGUACACACCGCCCGUCACACCAUGGGAGUUGGUUCUACCUUAAGGCAAGGUUUAAUACCCUUGACCACGGUAUAGUCAGCGACUGGGGUGAAGUCGUAACAAGGUA
Molecule: ribosomal RNA, 1433 nt
Filed under: uncultured bacterium
Lineage: Bacteria
Description: bacterial SSU rRNA
Rfam family: Bacterial small subunit ribosomal RNA
Source: RNAcentral